UUCAUGACUGAGAGCUGUCCUUCAUGACAACAGAACCCACAACAACCAUGACUUUUAUCACCAUCUUCAUCUGGAUAUUUGCCCUCUGCUUUCAAGAGUCCAGAGGCCAGGUCACAGUGACCCAGACUCCUGCAGUGAAAGCUAUUUCAGUGGGUCACUCAGUCAGUCUCAGCUGUAAGACCAGCAGUGCUGUAUACAGUGAUACACAUGGACAGAGGUUGGCCUGGUAUCAACAGAAACUCGGAGAAUCUCCUAAACUCCUUACAUAUUUCAUUAGCACCCGUAACUCUGGGACUCCAUCUAGAUUCAGUGGCAGUGGAUCUGGGAGUGACUUCACUCUGACCAUCAGUGGAGUCCAGGCUGAAGAUGCAGGAGAUUACUACUGUCAGAGUUUCCACCUUCCCAACAGUGUCUGGGUGUUCACACAGUGAUACAGAGCCAUACAAAAACCCCCCUCAGAUUUCACAGUGACUGCGCUAGUUGGGUUUGACUCCAGGUGCUGAGUGGGAAGAGACAGUGGCCGUGUCCAAAUACCCAUACUACCGUACUUGAUAAGGUACAUUUCAGGAAAUGUUAUAUAACAUAAACAUACUGUUGACAAGUAGGCUAGGGUGUAAUGGAAUGUUUUGCCUUGUGUGGUAGGUUGUGUGGGUUUUGUCACUCUUAUGUAGGUGUCAUAACCAGCCAUAAAAUAAAGCAAUAUAUAUGUCACAAUAGGUCUAAAUAUAUGUGUUAUGACCCCAUUAUGACAGGUUAUGACAAGAUAUGUCAGCUGUUAGGACAUAUGACAUGGUUAUGACCGUGUCAUAGCAUUAUGAUGCUUGGUGUCAAGUGAAGUGUUACCACACACUCCAUGUCUCAAGGUUUAAAAAUCCUUCUUUAACCUGUCUCUUCCCCUUCAUCUACACUGAUUGAACAAGUUAUAACAAGUUAUAUUAAUACGGGGAUCAUAGCUUUCACCUGGUCAGUCUUUGUCAUGAAAAGAGUAAACUGAGUGUAUACCAGUAAUGAUGAUAUGUCAACUCAUACACCGUCAGGUGAAACCAUUCCUGAAGCAAUAACAACCAUGUGUCUCUAGAUUGCAUAAUUCUUCCUACGCUUUGCUAUGGCAAACCUUAAUUAGUUCAUAUGCAAACACUGCCUCAAAUUGUCACAAAAUAUUUUGAAUGGACUCCAUCUGUGUGGAAUAAGUGUCUCACAUCAUUUCAGAAUUUAAAAAAAACAGUCUCGGGGGUGGUUGAAUAGUCCUCAACCUGACGGCCAUGUCGAAACACAUCAGAGUUGAAAAUAUUUUGUUUUAUUGAACAUGCAUUCAUAAUAAAGGCAUUCUAACAAUAUUAAGAGUGCCUUGGUUCUCCUAGGUUUUGAUUAACAAUUCAACCAUAUAUGUUGAGAAGAUGAUUGUAAACCCGUAAAACAACACCUUGUUCCUGCUACAACCUGAUUAAAUCUUCCAGCACCUUC
Long non-coding RNA from Oncorhynchus masou masou (cherry salmon), 1464 nucleotides. RefSeq lists it as uncharacterized. NCBI's taxonomy places the organism in Eukaryota, Metazoa, Chordata, Actinopteri, Salmoniformes, Salmonidae. The record is from RefSeq and is a predicted model, not a curated record. The transcript is spliced from 2 exons.